AGUCCACCAUUUAAGUUGGACUUCCUUUGGUGUUUCGUCAUAGUGAUAGUAAGGACCCCUAAAUUUUGACCUAAUUGCAUGCCCAAUUGCCUUAGUAGCACAAUGAUUAGGUGCCCAUCUACAAAACAUGCAAACCAAAAUGUUAAACAUGAAGUAUAACAAAAAAUUCAUAAUAAAGUUCAAUGUGAUCAUAAACUUACCCUUUACCCACUGGUCGAAUGAUGACUCUCCCAUUACCAUCAUGUUCUUCAUCAGGGAUAUCAUGGUGCGUAGUAGGCGUGGGUUGUACUGGCGUAUCAGAGGAGGGUUGCACUGAUGCCUGAGUGGGUUGAACUGAUGUAUGAGUGGGCUGAACUAGAAUUUGAGGAGUCACAGGAACGGAUGGAGCACUAGAGAAAUGAAC
Molecule: long non-coding RNA, 403 nt
Filed under: Phaseolus vulgaris (common bean)
Lineage: Eukaryota; Viridiplantae; Streptophyta; Magnoliopsida; Fabales; Fabaceae
Description: long non-coding RNA (PVUL_LNC001458)
Source: RNAcentral